This 1255-nucleotide long non-coding RNA is filed under the name Dromaius novaehollandiae (emu). RNAcentral's name for it is "lncRNA (ENSDNVG00000011897.1)". The record is from RNAcentral. Lineage: Eukaryota; Metazoa; Chordata; Aves; Casuariiformes; Dromaiidae.
GCCGCUCGCAUGUAAUUCCCCCAACCCCCUGAAGAMGUGUGCCUAUCUAUGCAGGUACGGGCUUAUUUAAUUGAAAGGAGGAAAAAAAAAAUUGUCUCAGUGUUCAGAACCCAAAUGGCAUCGGUAGUAGUGGCAAUGUUUAUGUUUUUUUAAAGCUAAGCAAGCUCAGGAACUGUGCUGGGCACAUAGUGGGGUCUUGCAAGUGCACCCUAAAAAUGUCUAUAGGAUGCACAGGAACUGUGGUUUUCACCUGAAGAACCGAGGCCCCUUCUCCUGAUUUUCUCUGAUAGAAGAAAGAUCUCACUYGGGCCAUGCAGACGGGAUUUAAAGUCAUCUUCCAGAUUUUGCUGAGACCCGUCCUGUUUGUUUGCAGGAGAAGGGGUGUGAGGAGCAUCCUGGUGACACAAGGGACAGAAACCGCUGGGGUUCAGCACACGACGGUGGGAGAAGGCGGCUGCAGCAGGCUCACUCUGAGGCAAACACACCUUCCCAGGCAUGAAGAGGGAACAAACGGAACAUCUUGGAUGUCGGGAGACAGCCACUGUGUCCUGAGACGGUUUCGGAACCAUGGCAAAUAAUGUUGUUUCCCAUAAACAUGGACCACAGUGUGACAUCAACAAAAAAAUYCUCCAGGUCUGCCUGUCGAGAACAGAAAAAAGAGAGAGAAAAGGCUAAACAGGAGAGCUGGAAAAAUCAGCUUUAAGAUGCAAUUUCAUUCACAGCCCGCUAACCCAUCUGUGCCGUCCGUGGUUAUGAUCUGUUCCUCCUUGACUCCGGUGGCAGCUCUCUCUGCUGCCUACUGCCAAGAAGUAGGUCAGAAACCUAUUUUUGUCUCUGUUCUUCCGCGGCCGGAUUACAGUCCCUACGCCCUCGCGGGGACGGGGAAGCUGUGACACUUGUAGGGUKCAGCCGCGGUGGUGGCGAGCGGGGCACGUGGCAGGACCAGCGCCCGGGGGCCGAAACACGGCGAUAUGGGUCACUAGGGCACAUAGCUGCUACCUGCUCCCGCCUCUGUGCCCCACGGGCUAACGAUUUCAUCAGCUCUGCUUGCUAACGUCCUUCUUUCCUCCCCAGGUACCAACUACCCUUUUUUCUCAAAUUGUCCAACUGAUUAACGUAGUUAAGUUAAAUUCAGCAACUGUUUUCAACUUGUGCUUACUUUGAAGUUAGCUAGAAGACACGCCAGCAAGCUGCCCCACUUUUCCAGCUGGAAAUUAGAAAAUAAUAAUAAUAAUAAAUUAAACCGAAGAUCCCA